UGCGUAGGCGGGCUAAUAAGUCAGUGGUGAAAUCUCUCGGCUCAACCGGGAAACUGCCAUUGAUACUGUUAGUCUUGAGUUCGGUUGAGGUAGGCGGAAUGUGUAAUGUAGGGGUGAAAUGCUUAGAUAUUACACAGAACACCAAUUGCGUAGGCAGCUUACUAGACCGACACUGACGCUGAGGCACGAAAGCGUGGGGAGCGAACAGGAUUAGAUACCCUGGUAGUCC
Molecule: ribosomal RNA, 229 nt
Filed under: uncultured bacterium
Lineage: Bacteria
Description: partial 16S ribosomal RNA
Rfam family: Bacterial small subunit ribosomal RNA
Source: RNAcentral